GAUGAAGAACGUAGUGAAAUGCGAUAAGUAAUGUGAAUUGCAGAAUUCAGUGAAUCAUCGAAUCUUUGAACGCACAUUGCGCCCGCCAGUAUUCUGGCGGGCAUGCCUGUCUGAGCGUCAUUUCAACCCUCAAGCAACUUCUGCUUGGUGUUGGGGAUCGGCCGUCAAACGCCGCCCCCGAAAUCUAUUGGCGAUCUCGCUGUAGCUUCCUAUGCGUAGUAGUAACAUCUCGCAUCUGGAGAGCGGCGCGGUCAUGCCGUAAAACACCCAACUUCUCAGGUUGACCUCAGAUCAGGUAGGAAUACCCGCUGAACUUAAGCAUAUCAAGGCGGAGGA
Molecule: unclassified non-coding RNA, 336 nt
Filed under: soil metagenome
Description: partial contains 5.8S ribosomal RNA, internal transcribed spacer 2, and large subunit ribosomal RNA
Rfam family: 5.8S ribosomal RNA (bases 1-120)
Source: RNAcentral